AGGCUGUUGGGAGUUGAGAAAAAGCUGUUGGGAGCUGGUAGCAACUGUAAGGAGCUGUUGGUUCUUUUGGAGGAGCUCGUCAUGCUGACUUUCCUGAUGAACUUGGAUAUUUUCAAACUCCAAGGAGCGGGGACCUUGUUGGCAUUGAGAAUAGUUUUGGUUCACAUUGGAGAAGCUCUGGUCCUCACUGUGAGCAUCACUUCGUGGCUACGGAGGGGAAGAUGGUGCAUUGCCAGUCUCCUGGAGAAGCUUGCUGUGUUGGUUUUCCUGAUGGGAACUCAGCUUUCCUGAUCAUCGGAAGAGCUCGGGACCUUGCUGAGGAUGCGCCAAAAGAUUUUGGAAGUGGAAAAGAGGAUGCUGGCAUUGGUGUGCAGAACAUUAAAAUGCACAAAACAGUCCCUGGAAUGAGAGCCCUCAGCCAUGAAAAGACAACCAGCGCGACCAGUUUUUUUCCGCUUCCCUGCAGACUCCCACGCGCAUUAUCUGAUUGGAAAGCCUGUACAGCCGAUGGACAGAAUGGUCCCGAGGACCAGGUGGAUGAGAAGACAGGAUGGCCUAGCACUGGGACUGUUUUCCACAUUUAAUGGCCAGACUGAAGAAAAUGAAAUGGUCAUUCAGAAGAGCUGUCAGAUAAUUCGAGAGAAAAGUAGGACAGAAUAAUGGAUAUCUUCUGUUUGUCCACUCUGCAUGCCAUUUGGAUAUCAGGAGAUAAUUUCUGUGAAUGAUGUCACCUAGGCUUCCUUGCCUCUGGCUGGAUGUUGGGUCAGCCAAUGAAAGAGACAGAUCAGAUACACUGGCCUGCCUCCCUCCCUGUAAUGCGGUAGUUUCAGCAGCUCCAUUCUUCCAAAUUCUACAGUUUCGACAGUACAGUGAGUAAGUGAAGAAUUUGAGAAUACAUGAACUAUAAAAAGUAAAAUAAAACAGACUAUGGGUCAAUCUUAGGAAACAUUUUGUGCAGUUGUAAGCAGAAAAAUGCAGGCACUAUUAAGCCAUGGCAGAACAGGUUGGAUUUAACAUUGCCCUUCACUGAAUUACAGCUAUUGGCUCCUUUUUGAAUUCUUUGCCUGUAUUCCACAUAUGCAGUGCAGUGUGAAGGGAUUUAUUUCAUUUAUUUUGGAUUGGGAAGGUAAUUUGUAGUUUGAGUCCAAACUGAGAAAGUUCCCCUAUUGAGCAAGAACAGUAAUUCCAUGAUAAUUUCUAAGGCUGUUAAACACCCUUCCUGUAUGCAGAAGCUCAGUUUUUAACUGUUUUUGAACCAAUGUCAUAGUUAGGCAUGAUGGCAGUAUCUGGAAAGCUGGGGAAAAGACUGCAAGCUCAAGCCCAGCCUGGGCAAAUUAGUGAUUUUGCAAGAACCUGUCUCAAAAAAGUGUGAAGAGUGUGUGUGGGUAGGGGGUGUAGCUCAGUGCAAGGGCAACGGAUUCAAUCCCCAGCCCUGCAAACAAACCAAAGAAACUAACAAACAGUAACAUGUAGGUUAUGUACAUAUAGAAAAUUAGAUCUAUAUAUAGUAAGGGUGCAGAAAUAGAGUUUAAAAAUGGGCUGAGAAUUCAAAGUCUGAUAGAUUACAAAUCCAAGAUUUUCAAUUCCCUAAUUACUUUAUACUACUUAUAAAUUUUACAUUGCAUUGCUAUACCUUAUCUAUACUAUAUUAUACUGUUUUAUAAAACAGUCUUAGUAAUUAUUACCUUCAUAUUGCUACUUGUGGUCAUGAAAACUUGUGGACCCUACUACAUCUCCAAAAAUGCCAAUAAAACAGUCUGUGGAUUUGGAUCAGAUAUUACUCUCCUGGUUAUUACUUUGGUUCUUGUUUACCCUGGGGGCUGGACUCUAAGUUCUGUCCACAUGUUGCUUCCUGACUACUCCGUUUUAGUUGAAAGUCUCUGGUUUCUAUUCCUUAGUACCUUACACUCUGUCAGGUUCCCUUUGAUUCAUCUGAGCUCCCAGCCUAGGCCCUUCAUAAUUACAUGGCUGCUCAUCUUGUACUUUUUGACACUUGUAACAAGGCUAUAUGGCAUGGACAUGCAUUGAGUUUGGGGUAAAUUUAUAUCAUGCAUUGGGAUAUUCAAACAGAUUAAUACAUAUGAUUGUCACUAGUAACUGUUACUGUUAAUACUUCUGGCCUAACUUGUAUUUGUUUUAUCUGGUUAUCAGGAGGUGUACUGAUACAAAAAUUUUGGUUAGCUAUUUAUUCAUGUGGAGCUUUUAUAAAAAUAAAAAUUCAUUAAAUUGUUCAGACAUUGAACCUGCAAUGAACACAUCCAUCAUUCUAAAACAAUAUUGUAAUUGGAGAUGAAUAUUUAAUAUUGAUCAAUUAUUUGGUUAUAUAUUGUAUCGUUUAUUAAGGUUAAAACACCUAGUUUAGUGCCACUUGAGUUUGUCAUUUUCCAAAGCAUAUCCAAAGAUAAUAAUAAUGGCAUGACAAUGAAUUAAAAUGUUUGGAGGAAAAUAGCCAUAAAAGGCAAAUACCUUUAGUGUCUAUUUUUAAGAAGAGAGUUUUAAGUUAGGUCUAGUUUGGGAAUUGAAGGAUAAACAAGAAUUCAUGAGGAGAGUGAGUGAUAAAAAGAAUUCUAGGCAGAUGUUACUCUUCAU
Molecule: long non-coding RNA, 2589 nt
Organism: Chinchilla lanigera (long-tailed chinchilla)
Lineage: Eukaryota; Metazoa; Chordata; Mammalia; Rodentia; Chinchillidae
Source: Ensembl